This 486-nucleotide long non-coding RNA is filed under the name Sorghum bicolor (sorghum). RNAcentral's name for it is "long non-coding RNA (SBIC_LNC000396)". The record is from RNAcentral. Lineage: Eukaryota; Viridiplantae; Streptophyta; Magnoliopsida; Poales; Poaceae.
CACGCACACUACCAACAUCAAAAUUACUCAAAGUUGGGCAAAUAUAGUUUAUUUUCUUUUUCCAACAAGUCAGUAGGAUUCUUUUUAAAAUUUUGAAUGAUUUUGUUUGCUAUUUUUAGUUUCUUAGAGCGUUUGCAUUUUUAAUGAAGUGCUAUUUCUUGUAUGAUUUUUCUUUCUUAUUCUAUUAUUUGAGAUUUACUUAUAUGGCCCUCAAAAAUGCCUCUUUCUUGCAUGACCAGUUUUUUUGAACUUCCUUCUACGGUCCUCAAACGAACUUUCAUUCCUUCUAUGAUCUUCCGUCCGUUUUCAGCACUUAACGAUGUUGAGUGGAGGUUAAAAAGACCAUAAUACCCCUGGCAUCAACAAAAAUUUUGCAAAGUUUGGUUUGUUUCUUGUAUAUUUUGAGUAAUAGUAAACAAAUAAAUUAACAAUUUAGACAUUAUAAUAGUACAUAUCUGGAUCACAAUAAAUAUUUGGACAGCAUCA